GCUUAGCCCUAAACAUCGAUUGCACUAUACACUCCAUAUCCGCCCGGGAAUUAUGAACGUCAGUUUAAAACCCAAAGGACUUGGCGGUGCUUAACAUCCACCUAGAGGAGCCUGUUCUAGAACCGAUAACCCCCGUUAAACCUCACCCUCUCUUGUUUUAUCCGCCUAUAUACCACCGUCGUCAGCUUACCCUGUGAAGGCUUUACAGUAAGCAAAAUUGGCACAGCCCAAAACGUCAGGUCGAGGUGUAGUGAAUGAGGGGGGAAGAAAUGGGCUACAUUUGCUAAACAUAGCAAACACGAAUGUUGCAUUGAAACAUGCAACUGAAGGAGGAUUUAGCAGUAAGCAGGAAAUAGAGCGUCCCGCUGAAACUGGCCCUAAAGCGCGC
This 388-nucleotide ribosomal RNA is filed under the name Reinhardtius hippoglossoides (Greenland flounder). Its description in RNAcentral is "partial 12S ribosomal RNA". It matches the Rfam family "Bacterial small subunit ribosomal RNA", at positions 794 to 1384 of the family's 1533-position model. Lineage: Eukaryota; Metazoa; Chordata; Actinopteri; Pleuronectiformes; Pleuronectidae. The record is from RNAcentral.